RNAcentral lists this ribosomal RNA (80 nucleotides) under Methanothermobacter defluvii. The record is from RNAcentral. Lineage: Archaea; Methanobacteriati; Methanobacteriota; Methanobacteria; Methanobacteriales; Methanobacteriaceae.
GAUCUCAGUAGUUAAGUCCUGCUGCGUUGUGGGUGUGUACUGCGGUUUUUUGCUGUGGGAAGCCCACUUCACUGCCAGAC